UCAUAGGGGUGCCUUAAUAUACAGGCUGAGAUUAUACCCAUUGAACCUGAUCCGGGUAAUGCCGCCGAAGGGAAGAAGGUA
This 81-nucleotide non-coding RNA is filed under the name Parabacteroides chinchillae. Its description in RNAcentral is "TPP riboswitch (THI element)". The stretch from base 4 to 74 matches the Rfam family "TPP riboswitch aptamer (THI element)", at positions 10 to 89 of the family's 105-position model. Rfam says of the family: Vitamin B(1) in its active form thiamin pyrophosphate (TPP) is an essential coenzyme that is synthesised by coupling of pyrimidine and thiazole moieties in bacteria. The previously detected thiamin-regulatory element, thi box was extended, resulting in a new, highly conserved RNA secondary structure, the THI element, which is widely distributed in eubacteria and also occurs in some archaea. Analysis of operon structures identified a large number of new candidate thiamin-regulated genes, mostly transporters, in various prokaryotic organisms. Lineage: Bacteria; Pseudomonadati; Bacteroidota; Bacteroidia; Bacteroidales; Tannerellaceae. The record is from RNAcentral.